RNAcentral lists this ribosomal RNA (459 nucleotides) under uncultured bacterium. Its description in RNAcentral is "partial 16S ribosomal RNA". It matches the Rfam family "Bacterial small subunit ribosomal RNA", at positions 338 to 795 of the family's 1533-position model. The record is from RNAcentral.
CCUACGGGGGGCAGCAGUGAGGAAUAUUGGUCAAUGGCCGAGAGGCUGAACCAGCCAAGUCGCGUGAGGGAAGACGGCCCUACGGGUUGUAAACCUCUUUUGUCGGGGAGCAAAGCGAACCACGUGUGGUUCAUUGAGAGUACCCGAAGAAAAAGCAUCGGCUAACUCCGUGCCAGCAGCCGCGGUAAUACGGAGGAUGCGAGCGUUAUCCGGAUUUAUUGGGUUUAAAGGGUGCGCAGGCGGAGGUGCAAGUCAGCGGUCAAAUUGCGGGGCUCAACCCCGUACUGCCGUUGAAACUGUUGGUCUUGAGUAUCGGAGAGGCAGGCGGAAUUCCUAGUGUAGCGGUGAAAUGCGUAGAUAUUAGGAGGAACACCAGUGGCGAAGGCGGCCUGCUGGACGACAACUGACGGUGAGGCGCGAAAGCGUGGGGAGCAAACAGGAUUAGAUACCCUUGUAGUC